This is a non-coding RNA of Anas platyrhynchos (mallard), 444 nucleotides long. The record is from RefSeq and is a predicted model, not a curated record. NCBI's taxonomy places the organism in Eukaryota, Metazoa, Chordata, Aves, Anseriformes, Anatidae.
GGCACGAAGCCGGCUGAUCCGCCCCCGGAGCCCCCCCCAGCAGCCUCCCCCCCCCCGCGUCCCGCAGCGCCCAAAACCCUCGGGGGGACGGCCCCGGGCAGGGGAACGGGGGGGGGCAACAGGCGGGACCCCCCCCUCCCUGCCACCCUCGGGGCUGCUAGCCGGGCUGGGAGGCAUUAAACCGACCCCAAAAGGAAGGCAGGUCUGAGGGAAGCGUUGGCACAGCACCGGGCAGGGCAGGAAGAGAAAUGAAGCAUUUCAUAAACAUCGUGAUAAUGAGAACGGCAUCAGCUCGUGGUUUAAAGCCAGGUGAAGCCCUGGUCCUGCCUGCAGCACGGCUGCGCUCACGGCGCUGAUAGAAGCCAGCUGAGGGCACCGAGUGUGAACUUUUAUCUCUGCUGACAUGACAUAUUAUUAAAAAGUAUUUCAAGUAAUCUUUUAUUU